Molecule: ribosomal RNA, 497 nt
Filed under: uncultured bacterium
Lineage: Bacteria
Description: partial 16S ribosomal RNA
Rfam family: Bacterial small subunit ribosomal RNA
Source: RNAcentral
GAUGAACGCUGGCGGCGUGCCUAAUACAUGCAAGUCGAGCGAACGGACGAGAAGCUUGCUUUUCUGAUGUUAGCGGCGGACGGGUGAGUAACACGUGGAUAACCUACCUAUAAGACUGGGAUAACUUCGGGAAACCGGAGCUAAUACCGGAUAAUAUUUUGAACCGCAUGGUUCAAAAGUGAAAGACGGCCUUGCUGUCACUUAUAGAUGGAUCCGCGCUGCAUUAGCUAGUUGGUAAGGUAACGGCUUACCAAGGCAACGAUGCAUAGCCGACCUGAGAGGGUGAUCGGCCACACUGGAACUGAGACACGGUCCAGACUCCUACGGGAGGCAGCAGUAGGGAAUCUUCCGCAAUGGGCGAAAGCCUGACGGAGCAACGCCGCGUGAGUGAUGAAGGUCUUCGGAUCGUAAAGCUCUGUUAUUAGGGAAGAACAUAUGUGUAAGUAACUGUGCACAUCUUGACGGUACCUAAUCAGAAAGCCACGGCUAACUACGUG